CCUGAAUUCAGCGGCGGACGGGUGAGUAAUGCCUAGGAAUCUGCCUGGUAGUGGGGGAUAACGUCCGGAAACGGGCGCUAAUACCGCAUACGUCCUGAGGGAGAAAGUGGGGGAUCUUCGGACCUCACGCUAUCAGAUGAGCCUAGGUCGGAUUAGCUAGUUGGUGGGGUAAAGGCCUACCAAGGCGACGAUCCGUAACUGGUCUGAGAGGAUGAUCAGUCACACUGGAACUGAGACACGGUCCAGACUCCUACGGGAGGCAGCAGUGGGGAAUAUUGGACAAUGGGCGAAAGCCUGAUCCAGCCAUGCCGCGUGUGUGAAGAAGGUCUUCGGAUUGUAAAGCACUUUAAGUUGGGAGGAAGGGCAGUAAGUUAAUACCUUGCUGUUUUGACGUUACCAACAGAAUAAGCACCGGCUAACUUCGUGCCAGCAGCCGCGGUAAUACGAAGGGUGCAAGCGUUAAUCGGAAUUACUGGGCGUAAAGCGCGCGUAGGUGGUUCAGCAAGUUGGAUGUGAAAUCCCCGGGCUCAACCUGGGAACUGCAUCCAAAACUACUGAGCUAGAGUACGGUAGAGGGUGGUGGAAUUUCCUGUGUAGCGGUGAAAUGCGUAGAUAUAGGAAGGAACACCAGUGGCGAAGGCGACCACCUGGACUGAUACUGACACUGAGGUGCGAAAGCGUGGGGAGCAAACAGGAUUAGGAGACGCUGGUAGUCCACGCCGUAAACGAUGUCGACUAGCCGUUGGGAUCCUUGAGAUCUUAGUGGCGCAGCUCACGCGAUAAGUCGACCGCCUGGGGAGUACGGCCGCACCGCUUAGGACUCAACAUGAGUUGACGGGGGCCCGCACAAGCGGUGGAGCAUGUGGGUUUAAUUCGAAGCAACGCGAAGAACCUUACCUGGCCCUUGACAUGCUGAGACGUUUCCAGAGAUGGAAUAGUGCCGUCGGGAC
This 950-nucleotide ribosomal RNA is filed under the name Pseudomonas aeruginosa. RNAcentral describes it as "bacterial SSU rRNA". It matches the Rfam family "Bacterial small subunit ribosomal RNA", at positions 85 to 1026 of the family's 1533-position model. Lineage: Bacteria; Pseudomonadati; Pseudomonadota; Gammaproteobacteria; Pseudomonadales; Pseudomonadaceae. The record is from RNAcentral.